GGCUCCUUGAGGAUGCAGCCACAUCUGUGAGGGAGGGCAUCCUCACCUUUCCUGCUGGGAAAGAGAGCUGCAAGCCCACACAAGCUGGGAAGAGCAGAAAUGCAGACAGCUUUGUGCUGGAAAGCUUCUCCCCAUGACAAAGACAACCUGGUGCCAGUGUAAGGAGAAUUAAAUGGAUUCAGUGAGUGGCUUAAGCAGGGGUUUCUCAGAGCCUGUGGCUCACUGAGGAGGAGGAGUGGGAGGAAGACACAAGAAAACCAUGACAGAGACAUAAUCAAGCUUAGCUGCUCUUCUGAGGCUCAGAGUGAUCCUGAAGAUCUGGGGAAUCCAGGAACCCCUGGUUUUGCAGACUUGUUUGACAGAAAAAGGAAAGCAUUGCUGGACUCAAGCUCUGUUCUGCAGCUGUGAAGUGCCACCCCCUCUCAGUUAUUUGUGUUUAUACAAACACAGCACCUCGCUGGGUUUGUACCACCCUGGUCAUUUCUAGGCAGGUCUUCACCAGAACAGCCCCGCUUUCACAAGUGCCCGAGAACUUCCUAAACAACUCACAGAAACCAGGGAAAAUGUCAUCAAAAUGAGGAAAAUC
This 586-nucleotide long non-coding RNA is filed under the name Cyanistes caeruleus (blue tit). RNAcentral's name for it is "lncRNA (ENSCCEG00000021779.1)". The record is from RNAcentral. Lineage: Eukaryota; Metazoa; Chordata; Aves; Passeriformes; Paridae.